GACGGGGGGGGCAAGUGUUAUUCGGAAUGACUAGGCGUAAAGGGCACGUAGGCGGUGAAUCCAGUUGAAAGUUAAAGUCGCCAGCUCAACUGGCGGAAUGCUUUCAAAACCAAUUUACUAGAGUAAGGCAUAGAGGAAAGCGGAAUUUCGUGUGUAGCGAUAAAAUGCAAAAAUAUACGAAGGAACGCCAAAAGCGAAGGCAGCUUUCUGGUUCUUUAACUGACGCUAAAGUGCGAAAGCAUGGGGAGCAAACAGG
RNAcentral lists this ribosomal RNA (256 nucleotides) under uncultured prokaryote. Its description in RNAcentral is "partial 16S ribosomal RNA". It matches the Rfam family "Bacterial small subunit ribosomal RNA", at positions 524 to 776 of the family's 1533-position model. The record is from RNAcentral.